CCUACGGGGGGCAGCAGUGGGGAAUAUUGGACAAUGGACGAAAGCCUGAUCCAGCCAUGCCGCGUGUGUGAAGAAGGCCUUCGGGUUGUAAAGCACUUUCAGUGGGGAAGAAAGCCUUGGGGCUAAUACCCUCGAGGAAGGACAUCACCCACAGAAGAAGCACCGGCUAACUCCGUGCCAGCAGCCGCGGUAAUACGGAGGGUGCGAGCGUUAAUCGGAAUUACUGGGCGUAAAGCGCGCGUAGGCGGUCUGAUAAGCCGGUUGUGAAAGCCCCGGGCUCAACCUGGGAACGGCAUCCGGAACUGUCAGGCUAGAGUGCAGGAGAGGAAGGUAGAAUUCCCGGUGUAGCGGUGAAAUGCGUAGAGAUCGGGAGGAAUACCAGUGGCGAAGGCGGCCUUCUGGACUGACACUGACGCUGAGGUGCGAAAGCGUGGGUAGCAAACAGGAUUAGAUACCCUGGUAGUC
Molecule: ribosomal RNA, 465 nt
Filed under: Vreelandella stevensii
Lineage: Bacteria; Pseudomonadati; Pseudomonadota; Gammaproteobacteria; Oceanospirillales; Halomonadaceae
Description: partial 16S ribosomal RNA
Rfam family: Bacterial small subunit ribosomal RNA
Source: RNAcentral